CCUACGGGUGGCAGCAGUGGGGAAUAUUGCACAAUGGGGGGAACCCUGAUGCAGCAAUGCCGCGUGGGUGAAGAAGCACUCCGGUGCGUAAAGCCCUGUCAGCAGGGAAGAAAAUGACAGUACCUGGACAAGAAGCCCCGGCUAACUACGUGCCAGCAGCCGCGGUAAUACGUAGGGGGCAAGCGUUAUCCGGAUUUACUGGGUGUAAAGGGAGCGCAGGCGGCGUGGCAAGUCAGAUGUGAAAACCCGGGGCCCAACCCCGGGAGUGCAUUUGAAACUGCCAUGCUGGAGUGCCGGAGAGGUAAGCGGAAUUCCUAGUGUAGCGGUGAAAUGCGUAGAUAUUAGGAGGAACACCAGUGGCGAAGGCAGCUUACCAAGCUACUUCUGACGUUGAGGCACGAAAGCGUGGGGAGCAAACAGGAUUAGAUACCCCGGUAGUC
This 440-nucleotide ribosomal RNA is filed under the name uncultured bacterium. RNAcentral describes it as "partial 16S ribosomal RNA". It matches the Rfam family "Bacterial small subunit ribosomal RNA", at positions 338 to 795 of the family's 1533-position model. The record is from RNAcentral.